Molecule: ribosomal RNA, 504 nt
Filed under: uncultured bacterium
Lineage: Bacteria
Description: bacterial SSU rRNA
Rfam family: Bacterial small subunit ribosomal RNA
Source: RNAcentral
AGAGUUUGAUCAUGGCUCAGGACAAACGCUGGCGGCGUGCCUAACACAUGCAAGUCGAACGGAGUUACGGGAGCUUGCUCCUGUAACUUAGUGGCGGACGGGUGAGUAACGCGUGAGGAACCUGCCUUUCAGUGGGGGACAACAGUUGGAAACGACUGCUAAUACCGCAUGAAAUUCUUCGGGGGCAUCCCUGAGGAAUCAAAGAUUUAUCGCUGAAAGAUGGCCUCGCGUCUGAUUAGCUAGUUGGUGAGGUAACGGCCCACCAAGGCGACGAUCAGUAGCCGGACUGAGAGGUUGAACGGCCACAUUGGGACUGAGAUACGGCCCAGACUCCUACGGGAGGCAGCAGUGGGGAAUAUUGGGCAAUGGGGGCAACCCUGACCCAGCAACGCCGCGUGAAGGAAGAAGGCUUUCGGGUUGUAAACUUCUUUUACCAGGGACGAAGAACGUGACGGUACCUGGAGAAAAAGCUACGGCUAACUACGUGCCAGCAGCCGCGGUAAU